RNAcentral lists this ribosomal RNA (77 nucleotides) under Symbiodinium sp. clade A. RNAcentral's name for it is "partial Bacterial small subunit ribosomal RNA". The record is from RNAcentral. Lineage: Eukaryota; Dinophyceae; Suessiales; Symbiodiniaceae.
AGUCACGAUACAAGAUGUGCCAGCAGUCGCGGUAAUACAUCUGUGGCAAGCGUUGUGUUACGUUAUUCGAUGUAAAG